This 2927-nucleotide ribosomal RNA is filed under the name Escherichia coli. RNAcentral's name for it is "partial 23S ribosomal RNA". It matches the Rfam family "Bacterial large subunit ribosomal RNA". The record is from RNAcentral. Lineage: Bacteria; Pseudomonadati; Pseudomonadota; Gammaproteobacteria; Enterobacterales; Enterobacteriaceae.
GGGUUGUGAGGUUAAGCGACUAAGCGUACACGGUGGAUGCCCUGGCAGUCAGAGGCGAUGAAGGACGUGCUAAUCUGCGAUAAGCGUCGGUAAGGUGAUAUGAACCGUUAUAACCGGCGAUUUCCGAAUGGGGAAACCCAGUGUGUUUCGACACACUAUCAUUAACUGAAUCCAUAGGUUAAUGAGGCGAACCGGGGGAACUGAAACAUCUAAGUACCCCGAGGAAAAGAAAUCAACCGAGAUUCCCCCAGUAGCGGCGAGCGAACGGGGAGCAGCCCAGAGCCUGAAUCAGUAUGUGUGUUAGUGGAAGCGUCUGGAAAGGCGCGCGAUACAGGGUGACAGCCCCGUACACAAAAAUGCACAUAUUGUGAGCUCGAUGAGUAGGGCGGGACACGUGGUAUCCUGUCUGAAUAUGGGGGGACCAUCCUCCAAGGCUAAAUACUCCUGACUGACCGAUAGUGAACCAGUACCGUGAGGGAAAGGCGAAAAGAACCCCGGCGAGGGGAGUGAAAAAGAACCUGAAACCGUGUACGUACAAGCAGUGGGAGCACGCUUAGGCGUGUGACUGCGUACCUUUUGUAUAAUGGGUCAGCGACUUAUAUUCUGUAGCAAGGUUAACCGAAUAGGGGAGCCGAAGGGAAACCGAGUCUUAACUGGGCGUUAAGUUGCAGGGUAUAGACCCGAAACCCGGUGAUCUAGCCAUGGGCAGGUUGAAGGUUGGGUAACACUAACUGGAGGACCGAACCGACUAAUGUUGAAAAAUUAGCGGAUGACUUGUGGCUGGGGGUGAAAGGCCAAUCAAACCGGGAGAUAGCUGGUUCUCCCCGAAAGCUAUUUAGGUAGCGCCUCGUGAAUUCAUCUCCGGGGGUAGAGCACUGUUUCGGCAAGGGGGUCAUCCCGACUUACCAACCCGAUGCAAACUGCGAAUACCGGAGAAUGUUAUCACGGGAGACACACGGCGGGUGCUAACGUCCGUCGUGAAGAGGGAAACAACCCAGACCGCCAGCUAAGGUCCCAAAGUCAUGGUUAAGUGGGAAACGAUGUGGGAAGGCCCAGACAGCCAGGAUGUUGGCUUAGAAGCAGCCAUCAUUUAAAGAAAGCGUAAUAGCUCACUGGUCGAGUCGGCCUGCGCGGAAGAUGUAACGGGGCUAAACCAUGCACCGAAGCUGCGGCAGCGACGCUUAUGCGUUGUUGGGUAGGGGAGCGUUCUGUAAGCCUGUGAAGGUGUGCUGUGAGGCAUGCUGGAGGUAUCAGAAGUGCGAAUGCUGACAUAAGUAACGAUAAAGCGGGUGAAAAGCCCGCUCGCCGGAAGACCAAGGGUUCCUGUCCAACGUUAAUCGGGGCAGGGUGAGUCGACCCCUAAGGCGAGGCCGAAAGGCGUAGUCGAUGGGAAACAGGUUAAUAUUCCUGUACUUGGUGUUACUGCGAAGGGGGGACGGAGAAGGCUAUGUUGGCCGGGCGACGGUUGUCCCGGUUUAAGCGUGUAGGCUGGUUUUCCAGGCAAAUCCGGAAAAUCAAGGCUGAGGCGUGAUGACGAGGCACUACGGUGCUGAAGCAACAAAUGCCCUGCUUCCAGGAAAAGCCUCUAAGCAUCAGGUAACAUCAAAUCGUACCCCAAACCGACACAGGUGGUCAGGUAGAGAAUACCAAGGCGCUUGAGAGAACUCGGGUGAAGGAACUAGGCAAAAUGGUGCCGUAACUUCGGGAGAAGGCACGCUGAUAUGUAGGUGAAGUCCCUCGCGGAUGGAGCUGAAAUCAGUCGAAGAUACCAGCUGGCUGCAACUGUUUAUUAAAAACACAGCACUGUGCAAACACGAAAGUGGACGUAUACGGUGUGACGCCUGCCCGGUGCCGGAAGGUUAAUUGAUGGGGUUAGCCGCAAGGCGAAGCUCUUGAUCGAAGCCCCGGUAAACGGCGGCCGUAACUAUAACGGUCCUAAGGUAGCGAAAUUCCUUGUCGGGUAAGUUCCGACCUGCACGAAUGGCGUAAUGAUGGCCAGGCUGUCUCCACCCGAGACUCAGUGAAAUUGAACUCGCUGUGAAGAUGCAGUGUACCCGCGGCAAGACGGAAAGACCCCGUGAACCUUUACUAUAGCUUGACACUGAACAUUGAGCCUUGAUGUGUAGGAUAGGUGGGAGGCUUAGAAGUGUGGACGCCAGUCUGCAUGGAGCCGACCUUGAAAUACCACCCUUUAAUGUUUGAUGUUCUAACGUUGACCCGUAAUCCGGGUUGCGGACAGUGUCUGGUGGGUAGUUUGACUGGGGCGGUCUCCUCCUAAAGAGUAACGGAGGAGCACGAAGGUUGGCUAAUCCUGGUCGGACAUCAGGAGGUUAGUGCAAUGGCAUAAGCCAGCUUGACUGCGAGCGUGACGGCGCGAGCAGGUGCGAAAGCAGGUCAUAGUGAUCCGGUGGUUCUGAAUGGAAGGGCCAUCGCUCAACGGAUAAAAGGUACUCCGGGGAUAACAGGCUGAUACCGCCCAAGAGUUCAUAUCGACGGCGGUGUUUGGCACCUCGAUGUCGGCUCAUCACAUCCUGGGGCUGAAGUAGGUCCCAAGGGUAUGGCUGUUCGCCAUUUAAAGUGGUACGCGAGCUGGGUUUAGAACGUCGUGAGACAGUUCGGUCCCUAUCUGCCGUGGGCGCUGGAGAACUGAGGGGGGCUGCUCCUAGUACGAGAGGACCGGAGUGGACGCAUCACUGGUGUUCGGGUUGUCAUGCCAAUGGCACUGCCCGGUAGCUAAAUGCGGAAGAGAUAAGUGCUGAAAGCAUCUAAGCACGAAACUUGCCCCGAGAUGAGUUCUCCCUGACUCCUUGAGAGUCCUGAAGGAACGUUGAAGACGACGACGUUGAUAGGCCGGGUGUGUAAGCGCAGCGAUGCGUUGAGCUAACCGGUACUAAUGAACCGUGAGGCUUAACCUUACAACGCCGAAG